GAUGGACGCUGGCGGCGUGCCUAACACAUGCAAGUCGAACGGAGAUUCCGGACGGACGUUUUCGGAUGGAAGCCUGUAAUUCUUAGUGGCGGACGGGUGAGUAACGCGUGGGCAACCUGCCCUAUACAGGGGGAUAGCAGCUGGAAACGGCUGGUAAGACCGCAUAAGUCGGUUAAAUCGCAUGAUUUGAUCGGGAAAUGAGCAAUCAGGUAUAGGAUGGGCCCGCGUCCGAUUAGCCAGUUGGCAGGGUAAAAGCCUACCAAAGCGACGAUCGGUAGCCGGACUGAGAGGUCGGACGGCCACAUUGGGACUGAGACACGGCCCAAACUCCUACGGGAGGCAGCAGUGGGGGAUAUUGCACAAUGGAGGAAACUCUGAUGCAGCGACGCCGCGUGAGUGAAGAAGUAUUUCGGUAUGCAAAGCUCUAUCAGCAGGGAAGAUGAUGACGGUACCUGACUAAGAAGCCCCGGCUAACUACGUG
Molecule: ribosomal RNA, 481 nt
Filed under: uncultured bacterium
Lineage: Bacteria
Description: partial 16S ribosomal RNA
Rfam family: Bacterial small subunit ribosomal RNA
Source: RNAcentral